RNAcentral lists this long non-coding RNA (228 nucleotides) under Hordeum vulgare. RNAcentral describes it as "long non-coding RNA (HVUL_LNC016926)". The record is from RNAcentral. Lineage: Eukaryota; Viridiplantae; Streptophyta; Magnoliopsida; Poales; Poaceae.
ACGUUGCGACGUUUGAUACACACAAAGCAUUCUUCUGGUGUCAGUGAGUUAUAUGAUCUCAUGGUCACAGGAAUAAAUACUUGACACGCAGAAAACAGUAGCAAAAAAAUGACACGAUCAACAUGCUACGUCUAUUAGUUUGGGUCUAGUCCAUCACGUGAUUCUCCUAAUGACGUGAUCCAGUUAUCAAGCAACAACACCUUGUUCAUAAUCAGAAGACACUGACUA